GUGGGGAAUAUUCCGCAAUGGACGAAAGUCUGACGGAGCAACGCCGCGUGAGUGAUGAAGGUUUUCGGACUGUAAAGCUCUGUUGUUUAGGACGAAAGUGCCUGUUGCAAAUAGUUACAGGUAUUGACGGUACUGAACGAGGAAGCCACGGCUAACUACGUGCCAGCAGCCGCGGUAAUACGUAGGUGGCAAGCGUUGUCCGGAAUUAUUGGGCGUAAAGAGCAUGUAGGCGGGAAUCUAAGUCUGUUGUGAAAAUGCGGGGCUCAACCCCGUAUUGCGAUGGAAACUGGGUUUCUGGCGUGCAGGAGAGGAAAGGGGAAUUCCCAGUGUAGCGGUGAAAUGCGUAGAUAUUGGGAGGAACACCAGUGGCGAAGGCGCCUUUCUGGACUGUGUCUGACGCUGAGAUGCGAAAGCCAGGGUAGCGAACGGGAUUAGAAACCCCUGUAGUCC
RNAcentral lists this ribosomal RNA (450 nucleotides) under uncultured bacterium. RNAcentral's name for it is "partial 16S ribosomal RNA". It matches the Rfam family "Bacterial small subunit ribosomal RNA", at positions 354 to 796 of the family's 1533-position model. The record is from RNAcentral.